ACACAGGGAUGCCUCAGUAACGGCGAGUGAAGCGGCAACAGCUCAAAUUUGAAAUCUGGCCUCCACGGCCCGAGUUGUAAUUUGUAGAGGAUGUUUUGGGUACCGCCGCGGUUUAAAUUUCUUGGAACAGAAUGUCACAGAGGGUGAGAAUCCCGUCUUGGACCGCGGUAGGGCCUGUGUAAAACUCCUUCGACGAGUCGACUUGUUUGGGAAUGCAGGUCAAAAUGGGUGGUAAAUUUCAUCUAAAGCUAAAUAUUGGCCAGAGACCGAUAGCGCACAAGUAGAGUGAUCGAAAGAUGAAAAGCACUUUGAAAAGAGAGUUAAACAGUAUGUGAAAUUGUUGAAAGGGAAGCGCUGGCCACCAGACUCGUGCGCGGGGUUCCCCUCAGUUUCGGCUGGGGCUACUUCCCCGUGUCCGGGCCAUCAUCAGUUUUGGGGGCCGGUCAAAGGUUCCAGGAAUGUAUCCACGCCUUCGGGGGUGGACUUAUAGCCUGGGGCGUCAUGCGGCCACCCGGGACUGAGGAACGCGCUUCGGCGAGGAUGAUGGCGUAAUGGUGGUCAGCGACCCGUCUUGAAACACGGACCAAGGAGUCUAACAUCUAUGCGAGUGUUCGGGUGUCAAACCCUGGCGCGGAAUGAAAGUGAACGGAGGUAGGAAGGCUCUCGCCUGCACUAUCGACCGAUCUGGAUGUCUUCGGAUGGAUUUGAGUAAGAGCAUAGCUGUUGGGACACGAAAGAUGGUGAGCUAUGCGAGAAUAGGGUGAAGCCAGAGGAAACUCUCGCGGAGGCCCGCAGCGGUUAUGACGUGCAAAUCGAUCGUCAAAUCCGUGUAUAAGGCAGAAAG
This 844-nucleotide ribosomal RNA is filed under the name Arthrocladium fulminans. RNAcentral describes it as "LSU rRNA". It matches the Rfam family "Eukaryotic large subunit ribosomal RNA", at positions 67 to 929 of the family's 3401-position model. The record is from RNAcentral. Lineage: Eukaryota; Fungi; Ascomycota; Eurotiomycetes; Chaetothyriales; Trichomeriaceae.